GGCAUCAGCCAACAAGUUCCAUAACCAGAACAGCUGUAGUGAUUGUGGCCUAGCUAAUAGCUAGUAAAAAAUGAGUAGGAGCUGGCGAAUUGCUGCUUCAACCAAACCAUAUUCCCCUGAACAAAUUGAGUCUUACAAUAACUUUUUUACAUAUACUUUUAAUUUGAGUUUUGCUUAGUUGCUUUCGUUUACCUCAUGACAGGUGAUGCUGAGACGGUUUUGUCCUCGUAAGACUACUCUACUGUUUGUUAUACGAGAUAAAACAAGGUCACAAUUGAAUGAGGCUAUUUUAAGAGAGGAUUAUGGAGAAGCUGCAAAGCUGAAGUUGGCCAUAACUGGUGCUACAAAAAGGAUAUUGUUGGAGCAGCAUUGACUAUUAUGAAUAGAGCUAUAGAGGAAGAGCGAUACAUCGAUGCAACUUUCAUUCGUGAUCAUGUUGGGGCAGGACUGCUACAUGAAGCUAUUCACUCCAUUGAGCUUUAUUCAUUUUGCUAUAUGCAAGGCUAUAACAGUGGUUGCCAAUUCUUAUAUAUUGAUUGAAAAAAAUUCUUCAAAUGUUGAACGCAUACAGAAACUUAAAGCAAUGUUCAGAAAGGGUGCAUGCGACUUAAAUACUGAUGAAAAAGGUAGUUGCUCAGUAUACUGCUUUGUGGUUUUUAUGCAAACUGCACAUCCUCAAGCUUUGAGAUCUUACUAGAGUGUUGCUGCUGUAAUGUUGAGACAUAAGAAAAGGGAGAAAGCUGGGUUUGCAAGCUAAGUCUAUGAAAUUCUGUAUGCAGAAAACGGACCAGUACGUGAAGA
Zingiber officinale is the source of this 801-nucleotide long non-coding RNA. RefSeq lists it as uncharacterized. The record is from RefSeq and is a predicted model, not a curated record. NCBI's taxonomy places the organism in Eukaryota, Viridiplantae, Streptophyta, Magnoliopsida, Zingiberales, Zingiberaceae. The transcript is spliced from 6 exons.